Molecule: non-coding RNA, 68 nt
Organism: Podarcis lilfordi (Lilford's wall lizard)
Lineage: Eukaryota; Metazoa; Chordata; Lepidosauria; Squamata; Lacertidae
Source: the annotation of a GenBank genome assembly
GAACCAUAGCUCAGUUGCAGAGCAUCUGCCUUGCAUGGAGGCCUCAGGUUCAAUUCCUGGCAUCUCCA